CUGUGCCGAGCACCUGGAUUCCCUCCACCCCGAUGGGACGGCCGUCUAAAGACAAAAAGAAACAGUUGAGAAGGAUGAGUAAAAAUCUAUGGAGGUCAGCAUAAAAAGAACCAGGUACACGGGCACAGUAGGUGUUUAUGUUAGAUGGGGGUCAACUGAACUAUAGUAAAGAUCAGAGUGGGUGUAAAUCACUAGCAAGACAUCUAAUUAACAUCAUGCAAGUUUACAGCCACGAGCUGACAGAAGCAGUGCUAUUUCUGUCCCCCCAAGGAUGCAGCGCUCACAGCAUGUGCUCCUCAGGAUUAUAAUGUGAUAAAGCUGCCAGCGCACCAUACACCGAGAAAGGAAUUUGUCUGAAAAAUCCUCAGAGUACAUUUUCUUUUAAGCUGGUUUGCUUCUUGGCACUGGAAAUGUUUGAGCUGUCACUCUGGGACCAGAAAUUCUAACUUGUCAACUCCAACAAUGGCUUCAGUCUGCCUAUGAUGUUAGCUAUGGGGCCAAAGGGGCAUUUUAAUCCCAUCUAUGAGUUCCAUCUGCAGCCUGUAAGCCUGUAUGUUCCAGAUAUGAUACACCGAAAGGCCAGGAAUGGAGGGAAGGGAGACAGGUACCACAGUGGACAAAGGAGCUCCAGUCAGAAAUGCUAACUAUGUGGUCAAUAGUCAGUGAAUACUUUUGGGUUCAGUCCCUUAUCUUUAAACUUAAAGCAAGUCACUUUUCAACAGAAAGGUUACUUUGGAUAAUGAGUUUGACUGGAAUUUCAAAAUAAUGCCACUAAGCCUAAAAAUGAAUUUGCUGAUCAGGAUUAUCAACAAGUCUACUGUCGUGACCCACAUGACCAAGAGUUUACUGGAACACUGAAACUGCCAUCAAAACAGCCUUCUGUCACAUACUGCUGGUUGCAAAACAAAUGAGAGAUGAUGGUCUAUGGGUGUGACUACAGAUCUCAGAGUCCUCUGUGGUGGUAAAACUGUUGCUGACGAUAACAGUAUGAUCACCACUUAUCUAAGUGAAAAAAAGACUAAAAAACUGUAAAAGCGUACUUUGAAAACAUAAUGGCACACUCCAAACCAAUACACUGUGGCAUAUGAUGGCCUAAACAAAUUAUAUGAUGACAAAAAAUGAUUACCAGACUCAUGAUUUUGUGUGUACAUUGUGCAUGAUGAUAUAUCCAAUUACUGCACAUACAAAUGUGCUUGUAUCAAAGAUAAUUAGAUUAUAUAAUGGUGUGUAUUUUACAUUACAGCCAUAUGUGACAUGAAUAUCUCACUAGGUUGUCUACACAACGAGUUUAUGAAUGUCUUAAUUCAUCAAGAGUACAUGAAAUCACAUAAUAUUUUAAAUUUUAUAUACACUGCCUUAUGAAUGUGGUAAAAACAUGUUAUUACUGUGUAGCUAGUGUGAGUGUGUAGGCAUUAUGAGCACCUUUGUCUUGCAACUGUUAUUUUGGUUUCUUCAGCCAAACUGUAGUGAUGACACAUACUGCCAUGAAAUGCAAAACAACGAAAUCAAAGCAAGCCUUUAUUCUGGGUGAGACAACAGGUCCAAAACCUAAAACUCCAAAGAAGUGCAGGCAACACAGAAAGCAAAACAUACAGAGAGCCAAGGAAGAAGGCUGCACAAACAGAUAUUGCUACAAAAGGGUGACAAGAUGAAAUUAAUAAGUGCAGGUGAAUACAACAAACAGAAAGAGAAACCCAGAUCAUGACGCAGGAGACAACCAGCUACUGGAGUCAAACAGGAAAUGACCAAAACACAACUACACUGACACCAAACAAGACGACAGAGAGAAAAGGAACCCAGGAGGAGAAAGGGACAAGCCCUGUAACAACACAGAGAGGGAAACUUUAAGAUAAUCAAAGCAGGAAAUCAAGGCAAUAAUAACUUAUUAAUAGAAUAAAAACAGGAACCAAAACCCAUUCAUAUCUCAAGAAGUAAAAGUCACCUUGCAGUGGUAUAGUAAGGAAAUCAAACUACAGAAAGAGCCCUAAGACCUUGACAGAUAAGCGCCAAUUUAAGACAAAACAAUAAAUAAUUACAAGCAUCAACUGUGACAUAGUCCAGGAAACCUAAACGACAAAGACAAUUCACUCCUGUGAUACAACAACUGAAGAUAAACACAGCCAACACACCGCUGGUGCACACACACGACUCGUGUGAUAAAUGUUGCAGCUUCAAUUAGUAAAUGUGUAAUUAUGUGGCGAUGCCUAAUGAAGACAAUACAUGUAAUUAAUGCAAUUAAU
Long non-coding RNA from Oreochromis niloticus (Nile tilapia), 2240 nucleotides. RefSeq lists it as uncharacterized. The transcript is spliced from 3 exons. The record is from RefSeq and is a predicted model, not a curated record. NCBI's taxonomy places the organism in Eukaryota, Metazoa, Chordata, Actinopteri, Cichliformes, Cichlidae.